UACGUAGGGUGCAAGCGUUAAUCGGAAUUACUGGGCGUAAAGCGUGCGCAGGCGGAUUUGUAAGUCUGUCGUGAAAGCCCCGGGCUCAACCUGGGAAUUGCGAUGGAGACUGCAAGGCUUGAAUCUGGCAGAGGGGGGUAGAAUUCCACGUGUAGCAGUGAAAUGCGUAGAGAUGUGGAGGAACACCGAUGGCGAAGGCAGCCCCCUGGGUCAAGAUUGACGCUCAUGCACGAAAGCGUGGGGAGCAACCAGG
This 253-nucleotide ribosomal RNA is filed under the name uncultured bacterium. RNAcentral's name for it is "partial 16S ribosomal RNA". It matches the Rfam family "Bacterial small subunit ribosomal RNA", at positions 524 to 776 of the family's 1533-position model. The record is from RNAcentral.